RNAcentral lists this transfer RNA (73 nucleotides) under Acidobacteria bacterium RIFCSPLOWO2_02_FULL_64_15. RNAcentral's name for it is "tRNA-Met". It matches the Rfam family "tRNA". Rfam says of the family: Transfer RNA (tRNA) molecules are approximately 80 nucleotides in length. Their secondary structure includes four short double-helical elements and three loops (D, anti-codon, and T loops). Lineage: Bacteria; Pseudomonadati; Acidobacteriota. The record is from RNAcentral. RNAcentral also lists the same sequence under 5 other names.
GGGCCCAUAGCUCAACGGUCAGAGCCGCCGGCUCAUAACCGGCCCGUUCCAGGUUCGAAUCCUGGUGGGCCCA